GCAGGAUCCCAGCCAGAGGUUUUGGAGGAGUCCAGGUAGAAAACGAUCAUACUCGCGACUUUUAAUGGGGUUUAUGAGGCACGCAAAGUGCCUAAGAUCCCUGCAGAGAGCCUGGCGGCCCCCUCCACAUGAGACACCACUGUCCUUGCAACUCGGUCAAAGGGCACUUCACAGUGACAAAGCAGUAAUGGGGCAAAUGGUACUGUGAACCCCCUGGUGGGCGGGGCUAUCAUAGGCUGUCAAUCACUGAAGGUUUAACAUAAUAGGAAUCAAAAGAAAUCUGUGCACAUACAAACCAGCACAGAUUUUGAAGCCUCUAUCUUCCACUGAAACAGUUCUGAGUGAGGCAGCUUUUAACUUCAGUAAACCAGGUCAGACCGCCAAAUGGCCCAAUGAUUUUUAAUUUUGUCAAAUUUGUCACUUAGAGCUAAAAUGAAACCCAAUGUACAUUAAUAACUGAUCGAAAAUGAGAUACAGACCACAAAGCAUUAAAGCAAAUCCAAACACAUUAUCUGUACUGGGAAGAGUUUUUCUUUUCCUUCUAGGCUUAUGACACAGCUGUCUAGUGUCCCCCAGAAAGAGCGGCACAACGUUCAGCACAUCUAAGAACACUUACAUAAGUGAGACAGGCAUUCAGAGGAGAUAUUUUACAACUAGAGAAAAUGCAAUAUUUCAUGCUGCAGGGAAGUACUGAAAGGUCCAACAAACAUGACACAACAAUAGGACAAGUCACUCAGGUCAUCAGGUGUGAUUCAGGGGGUUAGGCAAGGUCCCCCCCGGAAAUGUUCCAGGGGUGUCAGAUAAGAGACCUGACCCCGUGCUCAGACCCCAAGCUUCACUCUCAUCUCUAUGAAUAUGUGUGUGACCCUUUAAAAAGCAGAGCAAGCUCCACGGCUACUGGUUGGCUGGGCUCCGGUCUUCCUUACCUGAGCAUGUGAAGUUGGACUCGUCUUCACCAUCACUGCAGUCGCUGGUGCCGUCACAAAGCCACCUCUUGGGGAUGCAGCGGUUGCUCCUGCAUUUGAACUGGUCUAUGGGGCAGCUGUGGUUAUCUGAGGGAAAAACAGAGGGGUGGGGGGGGGGGUGGUGUCACUCCAGUAUUUUUUUGGUCUUGUGCAUGUAUAUAGAGCUCUGGAAAAAGAUCCCGCUCAAAAUCGGAAAAAAAAAAUCUGGUUUAAUCCUGGUUCUGCAGGGAGAAGGAUACACUGUGAGGUGGGCAGCUUUCAGGCCCAAAGCUUCUAUGGCAGUAAUACACAAGAGCAAGGUGAAGGAGGAGACACUGGCAAUAAUAUGUAAGUAAAUUAAUGACAAAAGUCGUUGACGCAAAAAAACAAUCAAAUAAAAACCCAUUGCAUUUAAUAACGCUUAAAUAAAAGCCCAAUGCAUUUAAUAACGCUUAAAUAACAACACAUUGCAUUUAAUAACGCUUAAAUAAAAACACAUUGUAUUUAAUAAUGCUUGAAUCUAAGGAGGCUGUAAUUUUAUGUGAAUAUACAUUUAAACAUUGAAUAUUUCGACUGAAAAUAUUUCAGUUGUAAUUUCAUUGGUAAAAUAACCAACACAAAAAUAUUCGGCUCCCACAAUUCAGUUCCAAAAUAUACAGUUUAUAAAGUUCAUUUUUAUAAUUCAGUCACCUGAAUUCAAUGCAUUUACUUUAGUCUCAAAAUAAAUUUCCAACUUCAGUUGGAAACAUUCAAUGUGUUUUAAUGCCAUCUUCAUAAUUCAAGAUGUAAUAUUCAGUCCUUCUGUUUUCGCUUUAUGAAUACACCGCCAAAAUUUCAGUGGUUUACAAUAUGGUUCAAAAUUCAACCUUCUACAUCCGGGACUAGCAGGAUGAGCAAUUGAAUGCUGAUAGAGUUCUUGUCUACAUCCAGAAUCAACUGUGAGCGUGCAAUAAGCACAAAUUCUGUUGCACCGAUUGACAGAAAGGUAGAUUUUCUUUGUGUUAUCACGCACAUGGGUGUUCCAAAGUCAGUUACUGUCGUCUCUCUUCAAUUUAGCUAUUAAAUCUGCCGGCACCAAUUAAUGGAAUGACGUUUCUUGUGGAAAACGAAAGAUCGAUCUGCUGGACAGAUUUAAUAUUUAUUUAAAUGUCACCCAUUGUAUCAAUGUAUCUUGUGGGGUCGAUACUUUGAAAAUGCUUUAAAGAACAGCUGCUAUCUGUCACAUAUUUUAUGUGACGGACGGCAGCUGUUACUUAUCUCCUACUGUAAAAUAUUUUGCGUCACGUUUUGAACCAAUACCAGAUGUGAUUUAUCCGUAUUUUUGGAUCUGCAAAGUUUAUGAUUGGGGACUCUAGGGGAAGACGCAUCAUUGAUUGGUUAUCAGAUCAUUGGUUAAGCGCUGCUGAAAUCUCAUGCCCUUCACUAUGGAGAAUAGCUAGUUCUCCAACGCAGUAAUCUCUAUUAUUUUAAUAGUUUUGUCUUCGGCUCUGUGCCAAGGGACCAGCCAAUCACAGCUAAGCACCUUUUAUUAUGUGGGUUCUAGAUUCCAAGUUAUGGACCACAGCUCCAAUGACACUUAAAACUAAUUUAUUCAGUCUCCAGCACAAAAAACAUUUAGCAGGUAAGCUUACAAAGAAUAGUACAACCAAAAAUCCUACAAUGCCACAUAUUAAUAGAAAAUGACCAUAUCAGCCAUAAUAUAUAAAUAACCUCUAAUUAAUGGACCCAUGAUAAAACAGCCUAAAGGAAAUACCAAUAUGUCCCUUGUUUUGGACCGAUCGCCAGCGGGUGCCUUGUAACUACAUUGUGCAGUCUUAAACCAAACCAGCCUGACGCAUUUUCUUCACAUGUAACCCAUCAGCUUAAGGCGAGGGACACUCACAUGCACCGUCAUCUAGUCAUUCACACAAAUAUAAAUAAAAGCAUUCCUUUAGGAACGUAUAACAGGUGUAGCGGUUUCGCGAUCCAAUUGAAAGCCUCGGGUUCCGGUGCGGGUCGUCCUUUUACUUGCGCUGGUCUCGAUCUGUCCAUCCCCUAAAAUAAUGAGAAAAAGGAAACCCAACACAACUAAACAGAAAAACUCCUGCAUUUCAAUGCUCUCUUCUGUCUUAUCGUCCCAGUAAAUAAAUUUAUAGGUUGUCAGACAACUGGUUACAGGUGGAAUUAACUAGAAUUGAUACGGAAGCAGGGAGAACCACAAACACACAGCACACCACAGCGCACAAAUUACAAAACACAACCAAAUCUUAUUUCUCCACUUUCCAAACUAUCUGCACAUAGUCCAUAUCUAACACUUUGCUGUUGUUCAAUUUUAAUUUUUAUGAAGUUUAAAUAUCGGCUGGCAAUAUCGGCUAAAACUGGAUACAUCUAUAGUUUGAACUAAAGCUGACACCAAACAUUUUGCUUACGUUAGCUAUUUGCAGGAACCCACUGAGUUUUCUAGUUUGCAAGCUAGCUAGCUAAGGUAGUAGAGAUGGGACAACAGCUGACUUUGGGAAAGUCAUAUCUGCGAUGAUACACUCAAAAACAAUCUACCCUUCUGUCUACCAGAGCAUCAGAACUCAGGCAUGAGAACAAAUCCUAGAACAAAAAUAGGAAAGUCUGUUGAGAGCAGACGGGUUGAGGGCGAAGCCCGAGCGGGGGGUGCUCGAAGGGGGUGUCUUGAAAAUUCCCAGUCUAUUUGGAGUGAUUUUAAGCAUAUUUUGUGAUAAAAUUGACACAUUUCUAAAGAAGCUUUACUACCUUUCUGAGUGCUAGAUUACACAUUCCUCAGCUUCAGUUCAUAAUCUAUCACUGAUGGAGAAGAAAACUUCUAUGAGAAGAUCAACCAUACAGAUCAAAGAACUCCUCCAGAUCAAUAACUUCCACAUUUUACAGACUCACUAGAUGCACUUGAAUGUAUAUGCAAGGGGAACUGGCUUGGUAGUACCAUCAAUGUUGUAAAUAUGUAUAAGAGCAAAAAUGAAAGGUCCUCAUCAAGAACAGUCCCUAUCAUAUCCAGGGUCUCUUGAAAGUCACUGGAAUUCAAAAACACAACAACAUCCAUCUGAAUUUGUUCUUCACAGACUUUUCCAAUUCAUUUACGGGCAUAUGAACAGGUAGAAAGCGCCACAUGUUUAACUAGAAUUUAAAGCACAAUAACAGAUGAUUACAACUGCAUGCAUGAUAAUGCAAGUUAACACACGGAUUCACUACGUGACCCGUUUGGACCAAUCAUGUCGAUAGGUUAGUGCUGAAGCGCUCAUCCAAUCACAGUUGACGUAAGAAAAACUACUAUAAUGGGAUGCAGUCCCGCGGUGCCAUGCAUGCAGACGAUAUCAUGUCACGUGGUUCUCUUCAGUGCCUAAUAAGGUCAUGCUACUAUCGUGUCGAUUGAGAAAUCCAUUUCGGCGGGAAUGUAUUCGACGUAAUCACGCAUAAAUUAUGAGCGUUCGGGAUGCGACUUGGGCAUAUAAUCGGAUUACAAGGCGUCUGUUGGACUUCGUAGCUUGAUCUGGCAAUCAAAAACGGAGCUAGGGAGAUUGGCCCCACCCCCAUCCUACCCCCUAUUCUUUUUAUUGCAGAUUUGCAUGAAUCUCAGGACCCAACUUUUUGGCAAUAAAAAAAAUCGGAUUUCCGUCAAAAGUCGGAAAUUUCUCAUGCCUGAGAACUCGUAGGCCUACUCGCAUGUACACUGUUCACUCUGGAUCUAGAAACAAACACUAUCAGCACUCAACUGUUCAUCCUGCUAGUCACAGACUAUAUACAGUUGAAAUGUUCGAUAUUUAGAUGUACAUUCACAUUAAAUUACAGCUCCCAAAUAUUCAAGCAUUAUUAAAUGCAAUGUGUUUUUAUUCAAGCAUUAAUAAAUGCAAUGCAUUUUUAUUCAAUUAGUUUAAUUCAACAUAGUUUUUUGCAUCAACGACUUUUGUCAUAAAUUUACUUCCACAGCAUAAAGCAAGGGAGAAGCCUUUCAUCAGUGAGAAGCAGGGAUGUAAUAGCAAAAAAAUGUACAUUUUACACAGGCGCAUACCCACAAAUAGAGAAAUGAAACAAUUGUUUCCAGAGCUGUAUGUAUGUAUAUAUGUAUAAUAUAUAUAAUCUGUAUUGCUGCAGUCUAUAGUGUAUGUAUACGUACAGCGGUAUAUAUAGUUAAUUCUAAUAAUUAAUUUAUUUAAUAAAUACAUUUAUUUAAUUUUAUCACUGGUAUGCAGGAUGUAUGAUUAAUUGACAGAGGUAUGAAUGAUGAGUAGAUGCCUUUUCUACUUCAAUAUUUUAUCUUUACUCCAUCCCAAAUUGUGAUGGCCCCAGAGAAACAUUUCAUGGUAGUCUUGCUGUGCAAAUGUUUGUGCUCAUGUAUCCUUAUAGGGUGAGAUGGCAAUAAAGUAUCCUGAAUUUUUAA
Molecule: long non-coding RNA, 5325 nt
Organism: Brienomyrus brachyistius
Lineage: Eukaryota; Metazoa; Chordata; Actinopteri; Osteoglossiformes; Mormyridae
Exons: 3
Source: RefSeq, a predicted model, not a curated record